AUUUUCCUCUGCUUCUCUCAGGGCAGCUGGCGUGGCCACCUCGCAAGGCUGCUUCUAGGGACACGAGACUCGGGAGGGUCAGAGACUUUCAGGCCGGGCCUUCACUCCCUUCCCCGGGGCACUUGGGCAAGAGUUCCAGCUCUUGGCUACCUCUGGCCCGCGCGUGAGUUCAGACACCCAGCACACGCGACCCCCGCAGGGAAACCCCGGGAAGCUGCGCGCAAUCGCUGGGGACUCGCCAGGGCUCCACUUCCCAAGCUCCGCGCCCCCUGCGCCCAAAGAGGCAGGGCGGAGCAGAGGCCGCCGGCGUGGAGGAGGCGAGCGCGGGGCUGGCCCGGGAGCCGCCCCCGGGGAGGGACUGAGACCUGCCCCAGGAGUCGAGGGCGAGCGGCGGACCCGGCUGGGCCCGGCGCACGCCGAGGAGAGGGAGCCCCCGCCACCGCCGCUGCCUCCGCGUGCUCAGCCUGUCCCCGCCCAGGGAGCCGGAGCCUCCAACUAACUCCGCCCGCCGCUCCGCCGCCCGCAGGCUCCGGCUUCCGUCCCGGACAGAGCCCGUGGUCGCGCAGGUUCUGAAUGAUGACUGACGCGGGUUUGGGUGAUACCCCUCACAGCCCCUGUCAUUCCGGAGUCAUAAGGCACCCGCGCGUCUAGCCCCAGCGCCAGGGCACGCGAGCGGCGCUGGAGGGAGGAAAGCUUCCGCCUGCGGGCCGGACAAAAGUCCCGCCUGCCCACGGCUUUUUGCCCGCCGCUCGUGACCGAGACGCCUCGCCGCGGCCAGCUCGCUGCUCUCGCUGGCGGAUGGUGUGUGGCCGCCGCAGGACGCC
RNAcentral lists this long non-coding RNA (824 nucleotides) under Homo sapiens (human). RNAcentral's name for it is "non-protein coding lnc-PAM-1:8". Lineage: Eukaryota; Metazoa; Chordata; Mammalia; Primates; Hominidae. The record is from RNAcentral.